UACAGAGGGGGCGAGCGUUAUUCGGAAUUAUUGGGCGUAAAGGGCGCGUAGGCGGCGAAACAAGUGACGGGUGAAAUCCCUCGGCUUAACCGAGGAACUGCCUGUCAGACUGUUUGGCUUGAGACCGGGAGAGGUGAGUGGAAUUCCCAGUGUAGCGGUGAAAUGCGUAGAUAUGCGGAGGAACACCGAUGGCGAAGGCAAUCCCCUGGGCCUGCACUGACGCUCAUGCACGAAAGCGUGGGGAGCAAACAGG
RNAcentral lists this ribosomal RNA (253 nucleotides) under uncultured bacterium. Its description in RNAcentral is "partial 16S ribosomal RNA". It matches the Rfam family "Bacterial small subunit ribosomal RNA", at positions 524 to 776 of the family's 1533-position model. The record is from RNAcentral.